GGGGGGGGGGGGGGGGGGGGGGGGGGGGGGGGGGGGGGGGGGGGGGGGGGGGGGGGGGGGGGGGGAGUCACCCAUAUCCGUGUCAGAAAUCACAGGGAAUCCACGGCACCCGUGUCAGGGAUCCAGGGACUCACCCAUAUCCGUGUCAGAAAUUACAGGGAAUCCACAGCACCCACGUCAGGGAUCCCAUGGAAUCACCCAUACCCGUGUCAGGGAUCCCAUGGAGUCACCCAUAUCCAUGUCAGGGGGGGGGGGGGGGGGGGGGGGGGGGGGGGGGGGGGGGGGGGGGGGGGGGGGGGGGGGGGGGGGGGGGGAUCCCAUGGAGUCACCCAUACUCAGAGAUCCCAGGGAGUCACCCAUAUCCAUGCCAGGGAUCCAUGGAGUCACCCAUAUCCAUGUCAGAGAUCCAGGGAGUCACCCACAUCCAUCUCAGAGAUCCCAGGGAGUCACCCAUAUCCAUGCCAGUAUCCCAUGGAGUCACCCAUAUCCACGUCAGAGAUAAGCCAGACCCACCCCUGCUGCAGCAGUGAGCAUUUGGUGUGAGCAGAGCUCCCCCAGUGCAUGGAGCUGACCCUUCCAUCCAUGGCCCUUGGUGCUGUGCUGGGACUUUCCACCUCCAUCCCCACUAUCCCCAUGGGAAGGCUGAGGGUUCCAUGCCAGCUUUAAAGCACCCGCGUCAGGGAUCCAUGGAGUCACCCAUAUCCAUGCCAGGGAUCCAUGGAGUCACCCAUAUCCAUGUCAGAGAUCCAGGGAGUCACCCAUAUCCAUCUCAGAGAUCCCAGGGAGUCACCCAUAUCCACGUCAGAGAUCCAGGGAGUCACCCAUAUCCGUGUCAGAGAUCCCAGGGAGUCAUCCAUAUCCAUGUCAGAAAUCACAGGGAAUACACGGCACCCAUAUCAGGGAUUCCAGGGAGUCACCCAUAUCCAUGUCAGAGAUCCCAGAAGCUUUUUUUCUGCAUUCAAGGAGUGAAAAAAUUCCUUCAGGGAUCCAUGGAGUCACCCAUAUCCAUGUCAGAGAUCCAGGGAGUCACCCACAUCCAUCUCAGAGAUCCCAGGGAGUCACCCAUAUCCAUGCCAGGGAUCCAUGGAGUCACCCAUAUCCACGUCAGAGAUCCAGGGAGUCACCCAUAUCCGUGUCAGAGAUCCCAGGGAGUCAUCCAUAUCCAUGUCAGAGAUUCCAUAGAGUCACCCAUAUCCACAUCAGAGAUCCCAGGGAGUCACCCAUAUCCAUGUCAGAAAUCACAGGGAAUCCACGGCACCCGCAUCAGAGAUCCCAGGGAGUCACUGACCUCCAUGUCAAAGAUCCCGGGAAUCAACGGCACCCACGUCAGCAAUCCCACAGUCACCCAAUCAGAGAUCCCAGGGAGUCACUGACCUCCAUGUCAAAGAUCCCGGGAAUCAAUGGCACCCACGUCAGCAAUCCCACAGUCACCCACACCCAUACCAGAGAUCCCACAGUCACCCACAUCCACAUCAGUGAUUCCAGGGAAUCAAUGGCACCCGUGCAGAGAUCCCACAGAGUCACCCCAUAUCCGUGUCAGAAAUCGCAGGAGUUGUCGAUCUCCACGUCAGCAAUCCCACAGGGUCACCCACAUCCACACCAGAAAGUCUAGGGAACCACUGACCCUCCAAGUCAGUGAUCCCAUGGAGUCACCCACACCCACGUCAGGGAUCCCAGGGAAUCACCCACAUCCGUGUCAGAAAUCCCAGGAAUUAUCGAUCCCCGCAUCAGAGAUCCUGCAGAGUCACCCACUAAGUCACUGACUAAGCCAGAUCUCUUUAACAGCUAACAUGUGCAAGGUUUUGCUAAUUAGCUAUGCUAAUUUAUGAUAAGAAUGAUAAAGACUGGCCAAGAAAUUUCAAAAUGAAAAAAAAAAAAAGAAAAAAAUCGUGAUGAUUAUAAGGACCAGUUGAGGAACAGGCAAGAUAAAGGUGCUGGAACCAGCACAGAACAUCCACGAGACCCCAUCCCCCAAACCAAACAGGGCACAAAUUAGGGAAGAAAAAUGCUAAUGAUCUAAUGAAGGCAGAGCUUUCCACAAGCAAGAGCUCAUAUGCCCAGAUCACCAUCUGCAGCCUCUCCAUCUUUUUCCAUUUUCCAGUUCCACAUGAACCCCAGCACAGCCUAUGAGCAUCAGCCUUUUUCUCAGGCAAAACAGCACAAAAAUCAAACAAAAAAAAUGUUUUUCCCCGUCACGCUGAACUUCACUUGACAUUACCUCCUGGAGAGAAUAAAAAGGGGAAAUUGAGAGCAAAUGUCGCUGCUAAAUGAUUUUAGAAAAACCAAAACAACACAUUUUGAGUGCAGCAUUAGAGCAGACUGCAUGUCAGAACAAAGCAGUGGUUCCCUCUGAGCCCCUCAAGUCUAAACUGCCUGCCCAACUUUGGCUAAAUCUGAAAGAGUGCUAAAAAACACAAGGCCAAGUUUUUUUAUUAAAAUAAAUUGUGAGAAGAAGCAGCUAUUUCAUGGAAGUGUCCUUAUCAGAGCAUUUCCAAGGAAGAAUCAGCAGCCAGGCUCCAGCACCAAAGAUCUGCUGCCUAAAGAAUUGAAAUCUCUCAGGGUUUUCUUCCCCUCACUUAAAGCUUACCCUGUUUCCUUGCUAAUGCGGCUUGCUGAAGGACAAACUGGCAAGGGUUCUACUUUGGCAAAGCUGCCUCCAAACUUCUUGGAGCUCCAUUUCAAGUUUUACUGAGGGUAGGUUGUCGUUCUGCUCGUUUGGACCAGGCAGCAGAACCUGUGUUCCCAUCACUGCUGCUCAAGCAUUUCCACCUGGGGCAGGAAUUCACCUGAGAGCACUUGUCCUGCUGGGACACAACCUCCCAGCAAACACACGGGAAACUUCCAAAGUUCACACCAGCUGGAAGAGGUUUUAUCUUAAUUAAAGGACACAAGUGGGAGAAAAAUAUACUGCUAAAUCCCUCAAAAGCCUAAAUCCACGCUAAAAUCAGAUAUUUAAUUUUUGUCCUUCAGCUGGCAGCCAAGUUGCCUGAUGGGGAGCUCUUAAUGACUUUUAGUCCUGGGUUACACAACUAAAAGUACACAUUUUGGAGGAGAGCAGACUUCAGCAGCAAUGACCCCUUCACACCCCCAGUGAGGCAGAGCCACCAGAACUGUCCUUCCUUCCAGUGCAGGGGAGAGAAUCACUUUUAGAGUGAUUCUGGGCAUUUUCACCUGGCAAUUUCUAAAUUAGCAGCUCUUGCAAGACACACCAACAUCCUUGUUCCCUCCUGAGCUCAUCUUGGGGAAAACACUAUUCCUUGCAAUGCUAUUUUUUUUAAUUUCAGUUUUUAAUUGUUUCAGAGCAGUAGGCUGUGACAUUUAGGGACACAGCUCUGCAGCUCUCUCACCAAAAAAAAAGACUAAACACAAGUUACUGCUGGUGUCAGCUCAGCUGGACUGACAGCCAAGCAUCUACACCUGCAGUUAAUAAAUAAAUCUGGCUUUCAGUGCCCUACCCCAGAUGUUUUGGGCAGGCAGAUGUGGUUAACAGAGGCAUGAGCAACAUCUGUGGGGGAGACAGGAGUGUGAAAACAGAAAGAGCCUGAAGUUACAUCAGGAGUAGCUUGAGAAGUACUGUUAAAGUAGCAGGUCUGUCCUGAACCUGCAGCUCCCUCAGACUCCAGCAGAAGCAGCACAGCAAUCCAGACUCCUCUGAAAAAACCAGACAAAUCAGGGGGCUCAGGACUAAGAGAGCCCAACAUACACCACCAUAAACCACAGGCAAAAAGGCAGAAUAGUCAUCACAGGAUCUGGCUUUACUUACUGAAAGGCACAGUUCCAAGGCUAGGGGUUUUAACCCCAAAUUUACCAUGGGAAACUUCAUUUGAUGAAAUUCAAAAAAGGAACAGAUGCUGCUCAUGUGCAGCUGAGCUCUGUACACCACAGGGGUGCCAGCAGGGAUUUAGAGGACACCAGACAGCUCCUGCAGGGAAGGAUGGGGUGUAGGGAGCCAGCACCUCUUCCUGCUGGGGGCUGAACAGCCUCUAAUGAAAGCUCUUUUUCCCCUCAGUACAGGGAGAACCAGAGCUCCUUGUCUUCUGGUCUAUUCUCACAAAAACCUGGAGAACUUGCAGGUUUUGAGACUCCUGUGGAAGGCGUUCUGACACCUGUCCCAGGCAGCCCAGGCACUGGGCAGAGGCACCAUGAGCAAGACUAAAAACAGGACUAAAAACUUGUGCACACGAGAGAAGGAAGCGUCUAUUCAGCUAAUUCAAAGCACAGAUCACCCUGAACGCCACAGACCCGAGACGCGGCACCAAGGGCCCACCUGAGCCGUGUGGUCACCCCACCUGUGCUGCCACACCGAGGGUCAGCCUCCUUCAGCCAUGGUAACACUGGGGGACAAAAAUCUUCCGUCACUGCUGCUCUUCUGGUGUCAAAACCAAAUAAUUCCGAGCUCUCCAGGGAGCUGAGGCAGGAGAACUGGAACCAGGCUUGGGCUACCAGCCAAGGACACCACAAAUCCUGUUCCUCACCGACCUGCCCCGUGCUUUAAACUGCGUGUGCAGGCUCCUAACAACCCACUUGUGCGGAAUCAGGGGAUUUUUCAGCUUUUCGCACACCCACAUGCUUGCAGGUUGGUCAUUAAUGUGAUUUAGAAACCACAUUUCUAUACAGACCAGUCCCAUCCUGGAGCACUGGGAAGGGGCAGCAGCUCCUCUGUCCGAGCCCUCAGCCCUGAGCUUUCACCCACACUAGGAACUCAGGACAAGCCUAAACCAGGAGCCUUGAUCUCACACUUUCAAGCCAGCACAGGUUUUACAAGAGUUUAAUUGUUUCCCUGUGGUAUUAAAAUUCAGCAGGUCUAAGAAUGCUCACUCGUAUUUCCAAAUAUAACAGGAAAGCAGCUCCCUCAAACCCAGGCCAUCCCCAAUACCGAGACAAGAGCCCCCCAAAUAUUUUAUCAGGGGAAUUUUAACAGACACGAGUCUCGUGCUGGGACCCGGUCCCUGCAGAACCUGCUCCCAGUCGUGCAGGAGGAGCCGUGAGCUCCACAUCCCAUCCCCACUGGCACGGAGAACUGGAACCCCCAGGAGCAGCCCCGGCCAGGAAAAACGUGCCAGAAAACUUGAUCAAGGACGAACCGAGCACUCAAAAACCCUUCAGAGCUUCUUGCAAACUAGAUAAAGAGCCGAGAACGAGGGAGGAGAGGAACACCAGGAGCAGAGGUUGAGAACACGGCCAAGGAACAGCGUGUCAGAAAACUUACACAGGGACCGAGCGAGCACUCAAACCCGAGCACAGUCACAGUUUUGAUAAACUAGAUAAAGAAACCAGAGCAAGCGUUUAUGCCGCUACAGCAGCGGCUCGGGGCUCGGCUGAGGAGCUGCAUUAUCAGAAAGAGCUGCGAGUUCCCAAAGCACACGGGUCGCUCCGAGCCCCAUGUGCCACACGGACACGUGCGCGCCGUGUCGCUGUCGCCGCAGCGGGACACGGGGCCAGGGCUGGCGGGGAGCGCCGCCCGUGCCGCCCCACGAACCGAACCGAACCGAACGGAACCGGCCCCGGCUGGCAGCGGGCACAGGCCGGGCAGCGCGCCGCACACAGGGGAAUUAAUCAGUUAAUUAAUGAAUUAGCGCUGCGGCUGCGGCGCGGGCGGUCCCCGUUUUCCCCCGGUGCCGUUCCCCUCCCGGGCCGCGGGGCCGGGGGGGGGGGGGGGGGGGGGGGGGGGGGGGGGGGGGGGGGGGGGGGGGGGGGGGGGGGGGGGGGGGGGGGGGGGGGGGGGGGGGGGGGGG
This is a long non-coding RNA of Ficedula albicollis (Collared flycatcher), 5735 nucleotides long. The record is from Ensembl. NCBI's taxonomy places the organism in Eukaryota, Metazoa, Chordata, Aves, Passeriformes, Muscicapidae.